AUGGCACCUGCAACAACUCUGCGCUCUCUUUCUCCACAUGGCAUCCUCAUUCUCUUCACCCAUCUUCUCAUAUUGUUCUCGUCCAACACCAUCGCACAAUCCAUCAGCAACGGGUCCGAGGUCGACCGACAGGCCCUCCUCUCCUUCAAGUCCAGCAUCUCCAGUGAUCCGCGUGGUGUCCUGUCAUCAUGGAGCACCUCGAUCAGCUUCUGCAGCUGGAGAGGUGUCACCUGCGGUAUUACUCUUCCAACUCGUGUGGUCUUGCUAAACUUGAACUCUGCACAGCUCAGUGGUCAGUUAUCUCCUUGGAUAGCUAACCUUACGUCACUAGAACGGCUAGACCUUUCAGAAAAUCGCUUCUCUGGAAGCAUUCCAGAGGAGUUAGGCACUAGUAGAUCUCUUAAAAGUGUCGAUCUCUCAUUAAACCAGCUUGUCGGCCCUAUCCUAGAUUUCCAUAAGAUGUCAACCCUUCAAUUUCUUGAUCUUUCAAGUAACAACCUUUCUGGAAGCAUACCUUCAUCACUGGGAAAUGUUUCUUCUCUCACAGAUAUACGGCUUGACACAAACAGGUUAUCGGGUUCAGUUCCAGAGACUUUGAGCCUUAUUCAGAACCUUAGUAUGCUCAAUUUAAGUAACAACUACCUGUCGGGGCACAUCUCCACCAAACUCUGUAACAUGUCGUCACUCAUUUAUCUUGGACUAGACCAGAAUAACCUUACUGGACGAGUACCAUCUUGCAUUGGAAACACGUUACAGAACCUUGAAUUGCUGUCCAUGUCGGGUAACAAAUUUGAGGGAUUAAUUCCAUCAUCACUAGCAAAUGCGUCGAACCUCCAAUAUAUUGAUCUUGGACACAACUUACUAGAGGGGCGGAUCCCAUCUCUAGGAUCUCUAUGUAACUUAACCUUUCUAAAUUUAGGAAAUAACUUCCUACAAGCUGAAGGAAACAAAUUUUCUGGCCAGAUCCCAUCUACAAUAGGUAAUCUUUCUCGGCUGAACAAGCUUUAUCUACAGAACAAUGAGUUGAGUGGGAACAUCCCAGCAACUUUAGGAAAUUGCAAUCAACUGUAUAUGCUAGAAUUAUCUUUUAACAGCCUUGAAGGACCAAUACCAAGCGAACUCUUCAGUGGCACAACCCUGGUCGGUUUGGAUUUGUCAAACAACUACCUUACAGGAUCAAUACCACUACAAAUUGGUGCAUUGCUUCAACUUCUCCGACUCUAUAUUUCCUUCAACCAAUUGUCUGGUCAAGUUCCACUUACAUUUGGCGAAUGCGUCCAACUAUCUUCUCUCAGAUUGAGAAGUAACAUGCUUAAUGGAAGCAUACCUCGAUCAUUCAGUAACCUGAGGUCCAUCGAGCAGAUCGAUCUUUUCCAGAAUUCCCUUGUUGGAAAAAUUCCGGAGUUCUUUGCAAACAUGGAUUAUUUGCAGCAACUUGAUCUGUCUAUGAACUACUUUGAAGGGCCGAUUCCAACUGGUGGCAUCUUUCAGAAUCAUAGUGUGGUAGCGUUGGAUGGCAAUGAAGAGCUUUGCACAGGUGCAACCACCACCUUAUAUCAAUUCCCAGUUUGCACCACAACGUCAGCUGUUGGGAUCAAGAAGAAUGCACUCUUAUUGGUAAAAGUAAUUCCUCCUGUUGCCAUUGCCCUGAUCUCUUUCAUAUGCUUUGUGGUCACUCUUCUGACGAGAAGUCAAGCAGAAACAACUACAUGCUACAAGGAGACAAUGAAGAAGAUUUCUUAUGGUGACAUCGUCAAAGCUACCAACUGGCUCUCUCCGAUUAACAAGAUCAGCUCAAGUCGCACCGGUUCGAUUUACAUUGGAAGGUUUGAGUUUGACACGGACUUGGUUGCCAUCAAGUUAUUCCAUCUCCAGGAGAAUGGUGCGCGUGACAGCUUCGUUACUGAGUGUGAGGUGCUGCGAAACACCCGCCAUCGCAAUCUUGUCAAAGCUGUCACCGUAUGCUCGACAGUAGACCUAGAGAAAAUGAAUUCAAAGCUAUAG
RNAcentral lists this ribosomal RNA (2004 nucleotides) under Triticum aestivum (bread wheat). RNAcentral describes it as "partial small subunit ribosomal RNA". The record is from RNAcentral. Lineage: Eukaryota; Viridiplantae; Streptophyta; Magnoliopsida; Poales; Poaceae.